Molecule: long non-coding RNA, 572 nt
Filed under: Elaeis guineensis (African oil palm)
Lineage: Eukaryota; Viridiplantae; Streptophyta; Magnoliopsida; Arecales; Arecaceae
Description: long non-coding RNA (EGUI_LNC022500)
Source: RNAcentral
CCUCCAUUGCUUUUUACUCCAACCCCUUCAAUUAGAGGAUGGAAUCCAUCCUUUUCCGAUCCUCUCUCUCUCCACCAUUCUUUCGAUCUCUUUCUGGAAUCCUUUCCUCUCUCUUGCCAGAUGCCAAAUGGGACCUCUCCCCACUCUCGUUAUUUAACUGCGACCACGUUGCCUUUAAGCAUUUACUAAGAUUCCAAGACUGCACCAUCUUCUCUCAAACUUAGUGGCCGAAUACCAUGGACCAAACUCCGGCCACCGGCGAGAAUCACGGACACUUCUCUGUGCCCAAGAGUGGGUGCAUGCUAGGGUAUCUCCUCAAGAAGACCGAGCGCCGCUAUGUGCCCAAGCGUGGCGGCGUCUUGAAAGGCAUAUUACGGUGCCCCUGCUUUGGCUCGCCACGCCGAAUCGGAGAGGCGUCGUAGUGGAUCGUCGGAGAGGUGGAGUACUCUGGAGUUGUGCAUAAAUAAAGCAUGCUGACUAUAAGAUAAUGUUUAUCUAAAACUACUGUGAACCUUAAAGCAAUCUAUUCUAUGUAAAUUUGUUCUGAGCCUUGUCUUCCCCUGUUUUUGACC